Molecule: ribosomal RNA, 120 nt
Filed under: Cryptomarasmius crescentiae
Lineage: Eukaryota; Fungi; Basidiomycota; Agaricomycetes; Agaricales; Physalacriaceae
Description: partial 28S ribosomal RNA
Rfam family: Eukaryotic large subunit ribosomal RNA
Source: RNAcentral
ACCCGCUGAACUUAAGCAUAUCAAUAAGCGGAGGAAAAGAAACUAACAAGGAUUCCCCUAGUAACUGCGAGUGAAGAGGGAAAGCUCAAAUUUAAAAUCUGGCAGCUCCGCUGUCCGAGU